AGGAAAGAGAAGUCAUAACAAGGUCUCCGUAGGUGAACCUGCGGAAGGAUCAUUG
This 55-nucleotide ribosomal RNA is filed under the name Acaena splendens. Its description in RNAcentral is "partial 18S ribosomal RNA". It matches the Rfam family "Eukaryotic small subunit ribosomal RNA", at positions 1777 to 1831 of the family's 1831-position model. The record is from RNAcentral. Lineage: Eukaryota; Viridiplantae; Streptophyta; Magnoliopsida; Rosales; Rosaceae.